This 359-nucleotide small RNA is filed under the name Homo sapiens (human). The record is from RNAcentral. Lineage: Eukaryota; Metazoa; Chordata; Mammalia; Primates; Hominidae.
UCAUGGUACAUGAGUGGCUAUCAUACUGGCUAUUAUAUGGGUUUCAGACAAAAUCAAAAAGAAGGAAGGUGCUCACAUUCCUUAAAUUAAGGAGAAAUGCUGGCAUAGAGCAGCACUAAAUGACACCACUAAAGAAACGAUCAGACAGAUCUGGAAUGUGAAGCGUUAUAGAAGAUAACUGGCCUCAUUUCUUCAAAAUAUCAAGUGUUGGGAAAGAAAAAAGGAAGUGGAAUGGAGUCUCGCUCUGCUGCCCACGCUGGAGUGCAGUGGUGCAAUCUCAGCUCACUGCAACCUCUGCUAUCCGGGUUCAAGCGGUUCUCGUGCCUCAGCCACAUAAUUCCCCCACCACCUCCCAUAUG